RNAcentral lists this transfer-messenger RNA (404 nucleotides) under Heliobacteriaceae bacterium. It matches the Rfam family "transfer-messenger RNA". Rfam says of the family: Bacterial tmRNA, also known as 10Sa RNA or SsrA, is named for its dual tRNA and mRNA-like properties. Its role is to liberate the mRNA from a stalled ribosome. To accomplish this part of the tmRNA is used as a reading frame that ends in a translation stop signal. The record is from RNAcentral. Lineage: Bacteria; Bacillati; Bacillota; Clostridia; Eubacteriales; Heliobacteriaceae.
GGGGACGUUUUGGCUUUUGACAGAAUGUUCGGUGAAAACAGGCUGCGAGUCCGUGAGCUGUUCACGGUUAUCAACGAGCAAACAAAUUAGAUGCUGAAAACAACAUCGUAGAGCCUAAAGUUGCGCUCUGGGGUACUGCCCCAGUGCCAAUGGCUGUUUAGGCAGCCGGCCGCUGUGUACGCCCUGCUUGCCGGUGUACAUGGCAAUUAUGCAAGCUGCAGUGCGCUGAUGAGGGUAUGCGUAUCAAGUUAACCCUUAAAGGUUUUGUAUUUCCGAAAAAAAUACUUUGGUUAAACCAACGGUAGUGAUAUUUUCCGGGUUUAAUCGAGAUAAUAAUAUCUACACUCGUAGAAGCAUGUUUUAAUCCAUUUUGGACGCGGGUUCGACUCCCGCCGUCUCCAUUA